CGUGUAGGCGGCCAAACAGGUCCACUGUGAAAACUCGAGGCUCAACCUCGAGACGUCGGUGGAAACCGUCUGGCUAGAGUCCGGAAGAGGAGAGUGGAAUUCCCGGUGUAGCGGUGAAAUGCGCAGAUAUCGGGAAGAACACCCGUGGCGAAGGCGGCUCUCUGGGACGGUACUGACGCUGAGACGCGAAAGCGUGGGGAGCGAACA
This 207-nucleotide ribosomal RNA is filed under the name uncultured bacterium. Its description in RNAcentral is "partial 16S ribosomal RNA". It matches the Rfam family "Bacterial small subunit ribosomal RNA", at positions 568 to 774 of the family's 1533-position model. The record is from RNAcentral.